AGAGUUUGAUCCUGGCUCAGGAUGAACGCUGGCGGCGUGCCUAACACAUGCAAGUCGAACGGAGCCUAAUCAGCAGAAGCGGACAGCUUGCUGGAAGCAGAAGCAGAAAAGGCUUAGUGGCGGACGGGUGAGUAACGCGUGGGUAACCUGGCCCAUACAGGGGGAUAACACUUAGAAAUAGGUGCUAAUACCGCAUAACAACAGAAAGCGCAUGCUUUGUGUUUGAAAACUGAGGUGGUAUGGGAUGGACCCGCGUCUGAUUAGCUGGUUGGCGGGGUAAUGGCCCACCAAGGCGACGAUCAGUAGCCGGCCUGAGAGGGUGGACGGCCACAUUGGGACUGAGACACGGCCCAAACUCCUACGGGAGGCAGCAGUGGGGAAUAUUGCACAAUGGGGGAAACCCUGAUGCAGCGACGCCGCGUGAGUGAAGAAGUAAUUCGCUAUGUAAAGCUCUAUCAGCAGGGAAAAAAAUGACGGUACCUGAUUAAGAAGCCCCGGCUAACUACGUGCCAGCAGCCGCGGUAAUACGUAGGGGGCAAGCGUUA
This 545-nucleotide ribosomal RNA is filed under the name uncultured bacterium. Its description in RNAcentral is "bacterial SSU rRNA". It matches the Rfam family "Bacterial small subunit ribosomal RNA", at positions 8 to 543 of the family's 1533-position model. The record is from RNAcentral.